ACACCAGAUUUUCUGUCGGAGAAGAAGGAAGCUGAGGCGAUGGAGACCUUCUGUUCGGGCAUGGAAAACAUCGGUAUAAAGCUCGCCAAUUUCUCCGGCGGACCACCGUGCCGCGAUCUCCAAACCCGCCUCGAUCUCGCUCUCGCUCUCCGUCUGAUCCCUCGCCGGGCGUCCAGGUCCCCCGUCGGUUUUCCGAGGAUAUCGAGGGUUUCCUUAGGGCCGUGAUCAAUCAUGUUUAGCUGGAUGCGCUGGCUUUUAAAGAAACUUAAUCUGGAGACCGACGCUCAGCGUCUGUCCACGACGAUGGACAAGUUGAACAUGAUGUACUUCCUUGAGCUCCCAAUGGAGACCUGUGCCUGGGGCUCUUGGGUCCAUUUGGUUCAACUUUGAGAAAAUGGCUUUGCAUUCCUCGAAUAUCUUUGAAUGGAUGGGCAUUUUGUGAA
Long non-coding RNA from Eucalyptus grandis, 443 nucleotides. RefSeq lists it as uncharacterized. Lineage: Eukaryota; Viridiplantae; Streptophyta; Magnoliopsida; Myrtales; Myrtaceae. The transcript has 3 exons. The record is from RefSeq and is a predicted model, not a curated record.